This 245-nucleotide unclassified non-coding RNA is filed under the name Hevea brasiliensis (rubber tree). The record is from RNAcentral. Lineage: Eukaryota; Viridiplantae; Streptophyta; Magnoliopsida; Malpighiales; Euphorbiaceae.
CUCUCGACUUCUGAGCCACAUUUAAGGGGCAGCACCACCGACAUCUAGGACAGAUUCUUGGGCGACCAAGGGGGAAGAGCCCGCCACCCCCAGCACCCCUGAUAGAAGAUACCAUGUAAUAGGGCGUUCCAGGUUUGAGUAUGUUGCCAGAGACAUCAUAAACGGCGGCACCAUCAGCGGUGAGGGUGGAAAGGACGAGUAGGAGAGUUGAGGCAAGGAGCAGCUUCAUGGUUGCAAAUGCUGAU